CCUACGGGUGGCAGCAGUAAGGAAUAUUGGUCAAUGGGCGCAAGCCUGAACCAGCCAUGCCGCGUGAAGGAUGACGGCCCUAUGGGUUGUAAACUUCUUUUGUACGGGAAAAAACCUCUGGUCGUGAAUCAGAGCUGAUGGUACCGUCAGAAUAAGCAUCGGCUAACUCCGUGCCAGCAGCCGCGGUAAUACGGAGGAUGCGAGCGCUAUCCGGUUACAUUGGGUUUAGGCGGUGCGCAAGGGGAGUGGUGAAAGCCUACAGCUUAACUGUAGAACUGCCAUUGAUACUGUUAUUCUUGAGUGUUGUUGAGGUAGGCGGAAUGUGUCAUGUAGCGGUGAAAUGCUUAGAUAUGACACAGAACACCGAUCGCGAAGGCAGCUUACCAAGCAACAACUGACGCUCAUGCACGAAAGCGUGGGGAUCAAACAGGAUUAGAUACCCCAGUAGUC
RNAcentral lists this ribosomal RNA (450 nucleotides) under uncultured bacterium. RNAcentral's name for it is "partial 16S ribosomal RNA". It matches the Rfam family "Bacterial small subunit ribosomal RNA", at positions 338 to 795 of the family's 1533-position model. The record is from RNAcentral.